CAGCAAGCGGGGAACUAUUUCAAAUCCGUUUUAAAACUGGGGGAUUCCUGCCGGUAAAGUAUCGAAGACUGGUCAAUACUCACAUUACUGAUGUGCGGCACCUCCCCCCAAGUGCCCGUCAGGCGGAACGGCGUGGGAACGCCUGUUCCGGUUUCACUCCUAAUGGUCUUGACCCGGAUUCCCCCAGAACCCGG
Molecule: small RNA, 194 nt
Filed under: Pseudomonas sp. OF001
Lineage: Bacteria; Pseudomonadati; Pseudomonadota; Gammaproteobacteria; Pseudomonadales; Pseudomonadaceae
Description: P16
Rfam family: RgsA sRNA
About the family: P16 sRNA appears to be conserved across several Pseudomonas species and Azotobacter vinelandii.
Source: RNAcentral